RNAcentral lists this unclassified non-coding RNA (154 nucleotides) under soil metagenome. RNAcentral describes it as "partial internal transcribed spacer 1". The record is from RNAcentral.
CAGAGUUAUCCAACUCCCAAACCCAUGUGAACUUAUCUCUUUGUUGCCUCGGCGCAAGCUACCCGGGACCUCGCGCCCCGGGCGGCCCGCCGGCGGACAAACCAAAGCUCUUGUUAUCUUAGUUGAUUAUCUGAGUGUCUUAUUUAAUAAGUCA